RNAcentral lists this ribosomal RNA (292 nucleotides) under uncultured eukaryote. RNAcentral describes it as "partial 18S ribosomal RNA". It matches the Rfam family "Eukaryotic small subunit ribosomal RNA", at positions 6 to 224 of the family's 1831-position model. The record is from RNAcentral.
GGUUGAUCCUGCCAGCAGUCAUAUGCUUCGUUCAAGGGCUAAGCCAUGCACGUCUCAGCGCAAAUGGUGCAACAGUGGAUCUGUGAAUGGCUCCUUACAUCAGCAGUCAUCUCUGUGAUAGAGUGUGCUUGGUCAAUGGCAGUGGACCCCUUUGGACAUCCACCAAAACCUUGUGGCUAAUACACGUUUGAAACAGUCAGCCAUGCGACACUCGGAAGGCUUCCAAGGACCACCCUGCUGUGGUCCAAGUCGACCGGUGGUGGCGGAUGAACGCCCAGCUGAUACAAAGACC